UCCUGGAACUCUCAGCAUGACCACAGAUUU
This 30-nucleotide non-coding RNA is filed under the name Mus musculus (house mouse). The record is from RNAcentral. Lineage: Eukaryota; Metazoa; Chordata; Mammalia; Rodentia; Muridae.